RNAcentral lists this ribosomal RNA (439 nucleotides) under uncultured bacterium. RNAcentral's name for it is "partial 16S ribosomal RNA". It matches the Rfam family "Bacterial small subunit ribosomal RNA", at positions 339 to 795 of the family's 1533-position model. The record is from RNAcentral.
CUACGGGAGGCAGCAGUAGGGAAUCUUAGACAAUGGGGGAAACCCUGAUCUAGCCAUGCCGCGUGAGUGAUGAAGGCCUUAGGGUUGUAAAGCUCUUUCGCUGGGGAAGAUAAUGACGGUACCCAGUAAAGAAACCCCGGCUAACUCCGUGCCAGCAGCCGCGGUAAUACGGAGGGGGUUAGCGUGGUUCGGAAUUACUGGGCGUAAAGCGCGCGUAGGCGGGCUAUUAAGUCAGGGGUGAAAUCCCGGGGCUCAACCCCGGAACUGCCUUUGAUACUGGUAGUCUUGAGUUCGAGAGAGGUGAGUGGAAUUCCGAGUGUAGAGGUGAAAUUCGUAGAUAUUCGGAGGAACAUCAGUGGCGAAGGCGACUCACUGGCUCGAUACUGACGCUGAGGUGCGAAAGUGUGGGGAGCAAACAGGAUUAGAUACCCGAGUAGUC